GACGAACGCUGGCGGCGUGCUUAACACAUGCAAGUCGAACGGAAAGGCCCUGCUUUUGUGGGGUGCUCGAGUGGCGAACGGGUGAGUAACACGUGAGUAACCUGCCCUUGACUUUGGGAUAACUUCAGGAAACUGGGGCUAAUACCGGAUAGGAGCUCCUGCUGCAUGGUGGGGGUUGGAAAGUUUCGGCGGUUGGGGAUGGACUCGCGGCUUAUCAGCUUGUUGGUGGGGUAGUGGCUUACCAAGGCUUUGACGGGUAGCCGGCCUGAGAGGGUGACCGGCCACAAUGGGACUGAGAUACGGCCCAGACUCCUACGGGAGGCAGCAGUGGGGAAUAUUGCAAAAUGGGCGGAAGCCUGAUGCAGCAACGCCGCGUGCGGGAUGACGGCCUUCGGGGUGUAAACCGCUUUCGCCUGUGACGAAGCGUGAGUGACGGUAAUGGGUAAAGAAGCACCGGCUAACUACGUG
RNAcentral lists this ribosomal RNA (468 nucleotides) under uncultured bacterium. RNAcentral's name for it is "partial 16S ribosomal RNA". It matches the Rfam family "Bacterial small subunit ribosomal RNA", at positions 28 to 507 of the family's 1533-position model. The record is from RNAcentral.